ACCUGAAGUGCAUUCUUAAUCACUGAAUUGCAUCGAAAGUGCAUCAAAUUCUUAAAUGAAAUUCGGAGUACUUUAACCCUUGAACAACGAAGUCUUGGUUAAUCGAGACCUAAACUUACAAAACAAGAACAGUAUAGAAUUUAGGGAAUGAAAAUUGGAGCUCGUCCGAGGAUUACUUAAUGCAAUAUAUGAUAAGAGAUAUAUGAAUUGUUAUUUAAAAUUUUUAAUUUAUACUCAAGAUGUCUGAUGCUUCACCAACAGAAUAAGUAUUAGAAAAAUGAAUUCAAAAUUUAAUCAACAUAACAUUUGCAAUAUAUUUAAUACAAAGGAAUAUCUUUUACGUUUUAGCGUACCACUUUCACAACCUACGUCCUAUGUUAACCAUGACCUCUGAGUUGGAACAAUCAGUCAUUACGCCUAACAUAAUGUCUCGUAUAUCGCACGGCAUAAGUAUUUACUCCCAAAGUAAUUAAGACGUUGACCGUCAUGGGAGGUUACUCAAUUCAGACCUCGUAAAAUGAUAAGCCAGCAGAAAAGAAAAGGUAAACUUUUAAUAAGUUUAAUAUAUCAAAUAACGGAUUUCGAAAGAUAUAAAGUCUACCACAAUUCGAUGACAUAAAAGCAUCACAAAAUAACACUUACACCAUAUCGAUUUGAAGCUUAAUAUUUGAUGAAAAUGAUUAUAUA
Osmia lignaria (orchard mason bee) is the source of this 687-nucleotide non-coding RNA. The record is from RefSeq and is a predicted model, not a curated record. Lineage: Eukaryota; Metazoa; Arthropoda; Insecta; Hymenoptera; Megachilidae.